UAUACAUCUCGCAAGUAGCAAGUUGUAAUUAUGGCGCGAGUUGGGUGAACAUAACGGCGAUCAGCCCUCGAGGUCUUCUGGACAAGCAGAGCAAUGAGGAAAAACUGGGCGAACCAGAGGCGAAUCACAAAAACUGACUCCGACGAGUGAAGUAAUCGGACCUUGGUUUCUCCGUCCAUCACCGGGAGCAGUCUACCUGCAUCAAAAUUUUAACGGAGAUCGUUCCAGAAAAAUCGAAGGCCUUAUAUUCUAUUAGACCCUUCUCAUUCUUCCUUUAUUCACAGUUGAAACUGAGGAUAAACUGGAACUUCUUUGAAACAGAACGACGGGGCUUUAAUUCAAUCCUCGCCGGUGUUAAGGCUCGUAAACGAAACCGGUUGCAUCCAGCAACGGAGAGAACGAACGGAAAGCUCGGACAGCGCUGGAUCUAUCCACGUUCCCAUGGAAAUGUUCUUUUUUUACGAAAACGGAAUUACUCGUGGGAAGUAGCUGCCGGGUUUGCAGCUAUGAAAAUAUCCGAUCCCCUAAUGUGUUACUUCGAUUAACGAAAGAUCUACGACACAGCUUUCAAUGACAACUUCUGACAGCUCGUAAUGCAAUUGGAACAUCCUGUUUGGCAAUUGCAACCGAUCUAGUUGUAUCGCGUUCCUCAAGUCGUGUUCCGCGUGUAAAACAGGUAGUGAUCGAAUUAU
Nomia melanderi (Alkali bee) is the source of this 692-nucleotide non-coding RNA. NCBI's taxonomy places the organism in Eukaryota, Metazoa, Arthropoda, Insecta, Hymenoptera, Halictidae. The record is from RefSeq and is a predicted model, not a curated record.